This 76-nucleotide transfer RNA is filed under the name Anguilla anguilla (European eel). RNAcentral's name for it is "tRNA-OTHER". Lineage: Eukaryota; Metazoa; Chordata; Actinopteri; Anguilliformes; Anguillidae. The record is from RNAcentral.
GGCACGGUGGUGCAGUGGGUAGCACUGUCGCCUCACAGCAUGAAGGUCUAUCCAGGUCCAAAUCCAGACUGGGCCU